CUGCAGCCAAUUAAGCUACGAGGUUCCUUUGCCAAUGGUGUGCACUCCUUGGUAGUGUGUGCAGUUGCUUAUAUAGGUUGCUCUAAGGAAUCUUGGAGACAAUU
RNAcentral lists this small nucleolar RNA (104 nucleotides) under Nannospalax galili (Upper Galilee mountains blind mole rat). RNAcentral's name for it is "Small nucleolar RNA SNORA70 (ENSNGAG00000002355.1)". It matches the Rfam family "Small nucleolar RNA SNORA70". From Rfam's summary of the family: snoRNA U70 seems to be exclusive to mammals and is a member of the H/ACA class of snoRNA which contain H (ANANNA) and ACA box motifs. H/ACA box snoRNAs are involved in the conversion of uridines to pseudouridines (5-ribosyluracil) a constituent of structural RNAs (transfer, ribosomal, small nuclear, and small nucleolar). Lineage: Eukaryota; Metazoa; Chordata; Mammalia; Rodentia; Spalacidae. The record is from Rfam by way of RNAcentral.